RNAcentral lists this unclassified non-coding RNA (270 nucleotides) under Hevea brasiliensis (rubber tree). The record is from RNAcentral. Lineage: Eukaryota; Viridiplantae; Streptophyta; Magnoliopsida; Malpighiales; Euphorbiaceae.
GCAAUUCUUCAUAAUGAGCUGGCAGAAAGAUUUUCCCAUGUGAAUCUUCGCCUCAAACACACCAUUUUAGGGUUAUUUGUCCGAGAAUAUAAAUAGUGUCCUUAUCUCAUUUUGGGAAAGGGAGGAAAAAGAAGAAGAAAGAGAGGAAGACAAAGAGGGGCGGAAAAAUAGAGCAGCAGCCGACUUCCAUUUUUGAGAGCAGAAUCCAGUUUCUUCUCCUCUUCUUCACCAUUUUCUAAGUUUCUCUAGUUUUAGUUUAUUUUCAUGAUU